GUGUAGGAAUGGAUCAGUUUUUUUUCAUGUGAGCGCUUCCCGGAGCAAGGGAAUUGGGCAGGCAGUCAGAGGGAGGCCUGGGAAUACGAAAGAGUUAAGGAACGAGCCAGGGAGCCGAGCCCUAAGCAGUACAAAACCACGUGGGGUACGGAGUAACAUGAAAUGGCGGCUCCCCAGGGUGGAACACGGACUACGACAAAAUGGCGCCUCCCUAUGUAGGUAGGUGGGAGGGAGUUCCGGUUCUGGCCCCACCUACUUCCGGGCUCUAGCCAAUUGGCAGCAGGUCCAGUCCUUCACCCGCGGCACUUUUUCCAUCCCGGCACGCAUUGUGCGCAGCGCUGGCAGCUGGUGACCGGGCGGCGUGGCUGGGCAGAGGCGGGGGUCCGUGGAGCAGCUGCAGGCGCAGCAGCGUCGGCUCUGCAUGCCAGAGUUGUCAGUAUUUGCCCGGUCAAUUGCUUUUCUUUUCAGGAGGAUACACUGGACCUGCUGACUUAAAUAGAGAUAUGAGUGAGAUCAAAGGCAGAAGAGCUCUCAGUUGGCUGUACCUCUAGGGACAUGCAAGAAUUCUUUGCAAAUAUGCCAGGUAGAUAGCAACAAAGCGAUGUUGAAAAGUCCAGUGGUGGUCAAAAAGACUUCAGGGCUUUGUGGAGAUGGAUAAAAGGAUCAAGAGGGCAGAUAGUGCUCCCUUCUACCCUUCAAGUUGAGGGAAACGGUAUUGAAAGAAACAGGUGAGCUUUCAAUAUGGUUUGAAGGGAUACAUUGAGAAAAUCAGGUUUACAACUGAUGACAAUAGAAUGGCAUGUCAUGUUUGACAGCAAGCUAGUGAAGAUUUUACUGAGUACUUUGGAGAACUCUUGAAGUGUUUGUAUAUCAAAACAUGCAGUAUGAAAAAUAAAUAAGAGGAGUUAAAAGCCUUA
Long non-coding RNA from Lagopus leucura (white-tailed ptarmigan), 917 nucleotides. RefSeq lists it as uncharacterized. NCBI's taxonomy places the organism in Eukaryota, Metazoa, Chordata, Aves, Galliformes, Phasianidae. The transcript has 3 exons. The record is from RefSeq and is a predicted model, not a curated record.